Long non-coding RNA from Tachysurus fulvidraco (yellow catfish), 769 nucleotides. RefSeq lists it as uncharacterized. Lineage: Eukaryota; Metazoa; Chordata; Actinopteri; Siluriformes; Bagridae. The transcript is spliced from 3 exons. The record is from RefSeq and is a predicted model, not a curated record.
ACUUCCAUCCAAUAAUUAGGCGAAGUAGUGCUUAGGCGGCGGUUUUGGGCGCAGCGUAGUAUACCAUCUAGCAAGAUGAUGCCUCGCGUCUCUACUUCUAAUGACUUUUUAUGGCGGAUGGCAAACCAACUUUUGGUGCAUUCACCGCCACCAAGUGGAACGGAAUGUGAAGCACUAGAAAGCAGAUGACGCCUCACGUGACGUCUCAAUCAUCCUCGCGUCUUUUGAGCAAUCGGCAUUCAGAAGCAAGAUAAGGCAAUCACCUAUUUUUUCUGGACAUCGGCAAUUCUGAGGACUCGCAUGCUAUUCCAUUAAUGCUCAGUAUGGACUGCAGGAUUGUGAAUGAUGACAUCACUACUGUCAUCUCUGCUGUUUUUCUAAUGUUCAGCAGUUAUUACUCUUUUAACAUUCACUACCCUACGGAAUUGGCGUCACUGCUUAAAUUCUUGCUAAGGGUGCUUUUCAUCAUCAAUGCCAAGAAGGUCACAAAAGUCGAGGAAAAGAAGAACAAAAAGCAACUCCCAGUGAUGCCAGCCUAAUUUCUUACCUCUCUGAUCAUGAGUGGUGAGAGACUAUGUGAACUUUGUGCAGAGGUUUAUACUUACAGAAUAACAUACAAAUGGUAAUGAGUUGUGUUGUAACUACAAGUUUAGUGGUAAUGAUGUACUAUACCCUGUAAGCACUUAUGUUGUGCCUUGUUCUGCUUUAGUAGAUUAAAUGUACAUCUUUGACCUUUACUUGACUUCCCAAACAAGCACAGAAAAAAGUA